Small nuclear RNA from Capra hircus (goat), 107 nucleotides. Lineage: Eukaryota; Metazoa; Chordata; Mammalia; Artiodactyla; Bovidae. The record is from Ensembl.
GUCCUCACUUCAGCUGCACAUAUACUAAAAUUGAAAUGAUACAGAGAAGAUUAGUAUGGCCCCUGUACAAGGAUGACAUGCAAGUUCAGGAAGCAUUCCUUACUUUU